RNAcentral lists this ribosomal RNA (497 nucleotides) under uncultured bacterium. RNAcentral describes it as "bacterial SSU rRNA". It matches the Rfam family "Bacterial small subunit ribosomal RNA", at positions 15 to 507 of the family's 1533-position model. The record is from RNAcentral.
GAUCAUGGCUCAGAUUGAACGCUGGCGGCAUGCUUUACACAUGCAAGUCGAGCGGCAGCGCGGGGGCAACCCUGGCGGCGAGCGGCGAACGGGUGAGUAAUGCAUCGGAACGUACCCUGGAGUGGGGGAUAACGCCGCGAAAGCGGCGCUAAUACCGCAUAUGCUCUGAGGAGGAAAGUGGGGGACCGCAAGGCCUUGCGCUCUUUGAGCGGCCGAUGUCAGAUUAGCUAGUUGGUGAGGUAACGGCUUACCAAGGCGACGAUCUGUAGCGGGUCUGAGAGGAUGAUCCGCCACACUGGAACUGAGACACGGUCCAGACUCCUACGGGAGGCAGCAGUGGGGAAUUUUGGACAAUGGGCGCAAGCCUGAUCCAGCCAUGCCGCGUGAGUGAAGAAGGCCUUCGGGUUGUAAAGCUCUUUCGGCCGGGAAGAAAUCGCAUGGGUUAAUACCCUGUGUGGAUGACGGUACCGGAAUAAGAAGCACCGGCUAACUACGUG